GACGAACGCUGGCGGCGUGCCUAAUACAUGCAAGUUGAGCGCUGAAGGUUGGUACUUGUACCGACUGGAUGAGCAGCGCACGGGUGAGUAACGCGUGGGGAAUCUGCCUUUGAGCGGGGGACAACAUUUGGAAACGAAUGCUAAUACCGCAUAAAAACUUUAAACACAAGUUUUAAGUUUGAAAGAUGCAAUUGCAUCACUCAAAGAUGAUCCCGCGUUGUAUUAGCUAGGUGGUGAGGUAAAGGCUCACCAAGGCGAGGAUACAUAGCCGAACUGAGGGGGUGAGCGGCCACAUUGGGACUGAGACACGGCCCAAACGCCUACGGGAGGCAGCAGUAGGGAAACUUCGGCAAUGGGCGGAAGUCUGACCGAGCAACGCCGAGUGAGGGAAGAAGGAUGUCGGAUCGUAAAACUCGGUUGGUAGAGAAGAACGUUGGUGAGACUGGAAAGCUCAUCAAGUGACGGUAACUACCCAGAAAGGGACGGCUAACUACGUG
This 497-nucleotide ribosomal RNA is filed under the name uncultured bacterium. Its description in RNAcentral is "partial 16S ribosomal RNA". It matches the Rfam family "Bacterial small subunit ribosomal RNA", at positions 28 to 507 of the family's 1533-position model. The record is from RNAcentral.